GGUUCCAUGGUGUAAAUGGUUAGCACUUUGGACUCUGAAUCCAGCGAUCCGAGUUCAAAUCUCAGUAGGAACCU
This 74-nucleotide transfer RNA is filed under the name Nephila pilipes (giant wood spider). RNAcentral's name for it is "tRNA-Gln". It matches the Rfam family "tRNA". Rfam says of the family: Transfer RNA (tRNA) molecules are approximately 80 nucleotides in length. The record is from RNAcentral. Lineage: Eukaryota; Metazoa; Arthropoda; Arachnida; Araneae; Nephilidae.